This 226-nucleotide long non-coding RNA is filed under the name Volvox carteri. RNAcentral describes it as "long non-coding RNA (VCAR_LNC003800)". The record is from RNAcentral. Lineage: Eukaryota; Viridiplantae; Chlorophyta; Chlorophyceae; Chlamydomonadales; Volvocaceae.
AUAUGCUUGUAGAUCGCAUAUGCUUGCAGUUCGCAUAUGGCAUAUGCUUGCAGAUCGUAUAAUGGCAUAUGCGUGCAGAUCGCAUAAUGGCAUAUGCUUGCAGAUCGCAUAUACUUGCAGACAGCAUAUGCUUGCAGAACGCAUAUGCUUGCAGAUCGCAUAUGCUUGCAGAUCGCAUAUGCUUGCAGGUCGCAUAUGCUUGCAGAUCGCACAUGGCAUAUGCUUG